RNAcentral lists this ribosomal RNA (304 nucleotides) under Escherichia coli. RNAcentral's name for it is "bacterial SSU rRNA". It matches the Rfam family "Bacterial small subunit ribosomal RNA", at positions 652 to 955 of the family's 1533-position model. The record is from RNAcentral. Lineage: Bacteria; Pseudomonadati; Pseudomonadota; Gammaproteobacteria; Enterobacterales; Enterobacteriaceae.
UAGAGGGGGGUAGAAUUCCAGGUGUAGCGGUGAAAUGCGUAGAGAUCUGGAGGAAUACCGGUGGCGAAGGCGGCCCCCUGGACGAAGACUGACGCUCAGGUGCGAAAGCGUGGGGAGCAAACAGGAUUAGAUACCCUGGUAGUCCACGCCGUAAACGAUGUCGACUUGGAGGUUGUGCCCUUGAGGCGUGGCUUCCGGAGCUAACGCGUUAAGUCGACCGCCUGGGGAGUACGGCCGCAAGGUUAAAACUCAAAUGAAUUGACGGGGGCCCGCACAAGCGGUGGAGCAUGUGGUUUAAUUCGAU